Molecule: ribosomal RNA, 182 nt
Filed under: uncultured bacterium
Lineage: Bacteria
Description: partial 16S ribosomal RNA
Rfam family: Bacterial small subunit ribosomal RNA
Source: RNAcentral
CAUGAAGCUGGAAUCGCUAGUAAUCGCAGAUCAGAAUGCUGCGGUGAAUACGUUCCCGGGUCUUGUACACACCGCCCGUCACACCAUGGGAGUUGGAAAUGCCCGAAGUCGGUGACCUAACCGAAAGGGAGGAGCCGCCGAAGGCAGGUCUGAUAACUGGGGUGAAGUCGUAACAAGGUACC